CGCAAAUAAUUUUCCGGGAUGAGUAGAUCAUGUUUUAGCUGAGUUAAAUGUGGUUUCAUAGGCAGACAUUCAACAGACAUUCACUAUUAGAGACGGUAUGCAAGUUUGGUGACCGGUGGACCAGAGUAGGAUUUGACUAAAUCGUUAAAGGGUUUCAGCUCAUAGACAUCUUAUUUAAAGGCUAGACGUCUCAUGGCGCAGUCACUUCCGGCAUCACCGGUGGCCAUCUUGUCACAGGCAGGCUUCCUGUCGGGCUCUGUGGUACCUAAUAUAAGGACACCUCUACAGGACACCUCAUCGACACCUCUACAAGCCUGUCAGCUGUAGAUGUGUCCUCUGCAGCAGGAGGAGAAGAUCUUCCAUCCCCGUUUGCUGACAUUCCU
Esox lucius (northern pike) is the source of this 383-nucleotide long non-coding RNA. RefSeq lists it as uncharacterized. The record is from RefSeq and is a predicted model, not a curated record. Lineage: Eukaryota; Metazoa; Chordata; Actinopteri; Esociformes; Esocidae. The transcript is spliced from 3 exons.